AAGCUCGUAGUUGAAUUUCGGGGUUAGUAGGUUGGUCAUGCCUCUGGUAUGUACUGGUCUCACUGAUUCCUCCUUCCUUAUGGACCGUAAUGCCAUUAAUUUGGUGUUGCGGGGGAAUUUGGACUGUUACUUUGAAAAAAUUAGAGUGUUUAAAGCAAGCUAACGCUUGAAUACAUUAGCAUGGAAUAAUGAAAUAGGACGUUCGAUCCUAUUUUGUUUGGUUUUCCUAGGAUUGACGUAAUGAUUAAUAGGGAUAGUUGGGU
RNAcentral lists this ribosomal RNA (263 nucleotides) under uncultured Glomus. Its description in RNAcentral is "partial 18S ribosomal RNA". It matches the Rfam family "Eukaryotic small subunit ribosomal RNA", at positions 624 to 887 of the family's 1831-position model. Lineage: Eukaryota; Fungi; Glomeromycota; Glomeromycetes; Glomerales; Glomeraceae. The record is from RNAcentral.